CGUCUGGGAAGUGAGGAGCGUCUCCGCCCAGCAGCCACCCCGUCCGGGAGGGAGGUGGGGGGGGUCAGCCCCCCGCCCGGCCAGCCGCCCCGUCCUGGAGGUGAGGGGCUCCUCUGCCCGGCCGCCCCUACUGGGAAGUGAGGAGCCCCUCUGCCCGGCCAGACGCCCCGUCCAGGAGGGAGGUGGGGGGGUCAGCCCCCCGCCCGGCCAGCCGCCCAGUCCGGGAGGGAGGUGGGGGGUCAGCCCCCCGCCCGGCCAGCCGCCCCGUCUGGGAGGGAGGUGGGGGGAUCAGCCCCCCGCCUGGCCAGCCGCCCCAUCCGGGAGGUGAGGGGCGCCUCUGCCCGGCCGCCCCUACUGGGAAGUGAGGAGCCCCUCUGCCCGGCCAGCCGCCCCGCCCGGGAGGGAGGUGGGGGGGUCAUCCCCCCACCUGGCCAGCCGCCCCAUCCGGGAGGGAGGUGGGGGGGUCAGCCCCCUGCCCGGCCAGCCGCCCCGUCCGGGAGGGGGGAGGGGGGGUCAGCCCCCUGCCCGGCCAGCCGCCCCGUCCGGGAGGGAGGUGGGGGGGGUCAGCCCCCCUUCCGGCCGGCCGCCCCGUCCGGGAGGUGAGGGGCGCCUCUGCCCGGCCGCCCCUACUGGGAAGUGAGGACCCCUCUGCCCGGCCAGCCGCCCCGUCCGGGAGGGAGGUGGGGGGGACAGCCCCCCGCCCAGCCAGCCGCCCUAUCCAGGAGGUGAGGGGCGCCUCUGCCCGGCCGUCCCUACUGGGAAGUGAGGAGCCCCUCUGCCUGGCCAGCCGCCCCGUCCGGGAGGGUGGUGGGGGGGUCAGCCC
This 823-nucleotide long non-coding RNA is filed under the name Homo sapiens (human). RNAcentral's name for it is "HSALNT0405172". The record is from RNAcentral. Lineage: Eukaryota; Metazoa; Chordata; Mammalia; Primates; Hominidae.